Long non-coding RNA from Catharus ustulatus (Swainson's thrush), 1230 nucleotides. NCBI's taxonomy places the organism in Eukaryota, Metazoa, Chordata, Aves, Passeriformes, Turdidae. The record is from Ensembl.
AUGGAAUCAUCACUUAACUUCCCUUGCAGGGUAUUUAAUACAGAAGAACCAGCUCCUGUGCCUAUCAAAAAUUCCAGUUUUCCACUUCCCAGUGUGGCUGUUACCACAGGCUCUGCUGGGGAUGAAACCUCUGCUCCCCUCCACAGGUACCCAGCCAUUGGCAUGAGGGGGUUUGGAGAAGUCCUGGGUUUUAGGCAGAUGAGAUAUAACCGGGACAAGCCCCCACAGUGCUCUCACCCUGGUGCUUGCACCCCGGUGCUCACACCCCCAGCGUGGAGCUGCUCAUUCCCAGCCUUGUCCAGGCAGAUGAGAUAUAACCGGGACAAGCCCCCACAGUGCUCUCACCCUGGUGCUUGCACCCCGGUGCUCACACCCCCAGCGUGGAGCUGCUCAUUCCCAGCCUUGUCCAGGCAGAUGAGAUAUAACCGGGACAAGUCCCCACAGUGCUCUCACCCUGGUGCUUGCACCCCGGUGCUCACACCCCCAGCGUGGAGCUGCUCAUUCCCAGCCUUGUCCAGAGUGAACCAAGAGAAAAGGACAAGGGAGACGAGAAAGAAGGACAUGAUUCCGUUAAUUGUAGGUGCAGUAGCUGCAGCAACUGCCUGUUUGGCUAGCGAAAUUAUGCUGCUCAAAUUAAGAAGGAAGAAACUAGAAAGUGCAUGGGCCCGGGAAUCCAUGUUGAAGAAGAAUAACCAGAACCUGUCCCACAGAGUUGAAACUCUGGAAAAAAAUUUCCAAGAAGGCCUGGAGAGCAUUAAGAAUGAGCUUAAGGAUGUCAGAGCGGAGCUGCAGAAGAAUCAAGGAAAUAAGGAGGAGGAUAUUGCAUAUCCUCUGGAAUCCUUCUUGAAGAAGAAAAACCAGGAGCUGUCCCACAAAGUUGCAUCUCUAGAAAAAGAAUCCCAGGAGGGUCUGGAAGCCAUAAAUCAUGAGCUUAAGGAUAUCAGAGCGGAGCUGGAGAAGAACCAAAGAAAGAAGGAAGAGGAUAUUGUAUUGGCCCUGAAAUCCUUCUUGAGGAAGAAAGACCGGCAGCUCUCCCAUAGAUUUGAAACUCUUGAAAAAGAUUUCCUUGAAGGUCUGGAGACCAUAAAGCAUGAGCUUAACAAUGUCAGAGCAGAACUGAAGAAGAAUCAAGGCAAUAAGGAAGAGGAAAGUGCAGAGGACCUGGAAUUUAAGCUGAACAAGAAUAUCCUGCUACUCUCCCAUAGAAUUAAAACUCUGGCAGAAGAUUGA